RNAcentral lists this ribosomal RNA (423 nucleotides) under uncultured bacterium. RNAcentral describes it as "bacterial SSU rRNA". It matches the Rfam family "Bacterial small subunit ribosomal RNA", at positions 355 to 775 of the family's 1533-position model. The record is from RNAcentral.
UGAGGAAUAUUGGUCAAUGGGCGAGAGCCUGAACCAGCCAUCCCGCGUGAAGGAAGAAGGCGCUAUGCGUUGUAAACUUCUUUUUCAGGGGGAUAAAAUCCUGCACGAGUGCGGGACUGAAGGUACCCUGAGAAUAAGCAUCGGCCAACUCCGUGCCAGCAGCCGCGGUAAUACGGAGGAUGCGAGCGUUAUCCGGAUUUAUUGGGUUUAAAGGGUGCGUAGGCGGAAUAAUAAGUCAGUGGUGAAACCCUGCAGCUUAACUGUAGACUUGCCAUUGAUACUGUUUUUCUUGAGUAUGGUCAAGGCAGGCGGAAUGUGUAAUGUAGCGGUGAAAUGCUUAGAUAUUACACAGAACACCGAUAGCGAAGGCAGCUUGCUGGGCCGUUACUGACGCUGAUGCACGAAAGCGUGGGGAUCGAACAG